CCUGAACAUGUCCAUCGACAACUCACUAAACUUCACCUGGUCGGCGCAAUUGCCGACGAUCAGGAUCUCCUGCAGGGAUAGGCACAUGGGUGGCGUACGUUCGAUCGGGGGCGAGGUCUGUGGACCCAGCCUGUGGGUGCUGGUGUAAUCGGCGAUCUGGGCGUCCAGCUCUUGGACCAGUUCACGGACGAGCUUCAUGCGGUUCAACAGCAGGCAGACGACGAUGAAACGGGCGUAGUACCUGAGCUUCUUCACCAUCAGGUCGCUUCUGUCCUCCUUGGCAGCGCGGCUGUAGUACGCGCGGCCGCGGAUCGCCGCGUAGAACGAGUAGGCCUCGUGAAGGUAGCUGGUCUCGCUGGUGCGAAGGUAAUAGUGGUAGUAGAGUUGGCCGAUCUUGCUCGCGAUCUCGCCGAUCUGCCACCUCUUCAGGCCGUACUUCGUGUCGAGUACCGUCCUGGAACAACGAUAUGCGCGUGUAGUGUCACGCGCGCCUUUUAUGGUUAUUGGUCUGCCAGGCGAACACGCGACAGAAUCGCAUUAAUCACGCUAUUACGUUUUGCAGCUUUUUCGCCGCCCGAUAACGAUACUUCCUUUCCAACGAACGGAACGAGCAUCAUCCACGGAUGGACACGUGGAUGGAAAGGAACAAAGGGAAAAAUGGGAAGAAGGGGGAAGGAAGAAAGGAAACACGGAUCAGCGAUACUUUUGAAACUGGCUGCCGCACGUUUCGAGAAACUUUCCCCUAUUGUUUUGUCGAGUAUCCUGAAAGAGCGUCCCCGAUAUUUAUUAACAUUUGACGGCGCCACGAUCGCGUGUCUACCUAUGUACGCUGUGCAUCCACGUGUUACACGCCGUAUUGCACGUACUACACACCGUACGUGUGUAUAUAUGCGCGCGAGGCGUUGUGAAUAGCCGGAUAGACAAUUGACUCUUUGUCGAGUCGCACCAUCAGUCCAGCCGGCCCAACUUGAUGACACUUUACGAUCAAAAGGGAAAGGGACAAAGGGCCGAAGAUUACCGGGCAUCCGGUGCAACAGAAUCGAAAGAGUAAAUAAAGACGUGUGAGCAAAGUGUGUGUGUGUGGAACAAGAUUCGAGUGGGCCGACGAAACAAAUUUUGCCAGGUGAGUCGAGCUAUAUGGAAUGACACUUCUAACCAAUCUUUCGCGAUUUUUAAAGUAAUAAUUUUUAAAGCAAGGAAAAUUUGAAGUAUAUAACGAGUUUUCGUUGUGCGAUGAUUUUACAAAUGAGACGAUAACAGAAAAUUAACUUUUCAAUGAAUGUAUAUAUAUUAAAUGAUUUAAAAAAAAAUGUUACGUUUAUUAUUCUCGUAGAAUUUAAGACUGAUGAUUUUUCAUUGAGGAAUCAAUCAAGAGAAAGGCCAAAGGAUGCCAUCAAGUUGAUAAAAUUUUAAUAGAGAUUAUUGAAUAUAAUCCACGACAAACGAUAAAGGAGAGCGUGUUUCAAAGGAGUCUAAGGUAUUCUAUAAUUGUUCACUAGUCACUUGACAUAAAUAGAAAGAGCAAAGAAAGUGAAGAAAUGGAUAUUGCGCGAGUUUGAACAUGUACAGAAACAUGUACAAAUUGGACGAAGAAAAAAUAAAUGGAUUAUAAAAUA
Apis cerana (Asiatic honeybee) is the source of this 1616-nucleotide long non-coding RNA. RefSeq lists it as uncharacterized. Lineage: Eukaryota; Metazoa; Arthropoda; Insecta; Hymenoptera; Apidae. The record is from RefSeq and is a predicted model, not a curated record.